GGCGCUUUGGCGGAGUGGUUAACGCGAUGCCCUGCUAUCUUCUCUUCGAGAUAUCGGUAGGCAUUUCCUUCGGGAGCGUGUGUUCGAAUCACACAGGCGUCG
Molecule: transfer RNA, 102 nt
Filed under: Aureobasidium melanogenum CBS 110374
Lineage: Eukaryota; Fungi; Ascomycota; Dothideomycetes; Dothideales; Saccotheciaceae
Rfam family: tRNA
About the family: Transfer RNA (tRNA) molecules are approximately 80 nucleotides in length. Their secondary structure includes four short double-helical elements and three loops (D, anti-codon, and T loops). Further hydrogen bonds mediate the characteristic L-shaped molecular structure. tRNAs have two regions of fundamental functional importance: the anti-codon, which is responsible for specific mRNA codon recognition, and the 3' end, to which the tRNAs corresponding amino acid is attached (by aminoacyl-tRNA synthetases). tRNAs cope with the degeneracy of the genetic code in two manners: having more than one tRNA (with a specific anti-codon) for a particular amino acid; and 'wobble' base-pairing, i.e. permitting non-standard base-pairing at the 3rd anti-codon position.
Source: Rfam by way of RNAcentral